AAUAGAUACCCGGGUAGUCCACGCCGUAAACGAUGAGUGCUAAGUGUUAGAGGGUUUCCGCCCUUUAGUGCUGCAGCUAACGCAUUAAGCACUCCGCCUGGGGAGUACGGCCGCAAGGCUGAAACUCAAAGGAAUUGACGGGGGCCCGCACAAGCGGUGGAGCAUGUGGUUUAAUUCGAAGCAACGCGAAGAACCUUACCAGGUCUUGACAUCCUCUGACAACCCUAGAGAUAGGGCUUUCCCCUUCGGGGGACAGAGUGACAGGUGGUGCAUGGUUGUCGUCAGCUCGUGUCGUGAGAUGUUGGGUUAAGUCCCGCAACGAGCGCAACCCUUGAUCUUAGUUGCCAGCAUUCAGUUGGGCACUCUAAGGUGACUGCCGGUGACAAACCGGAGGAAGGUGGGGAUGACGUCAAAUCACCAUGCCCCUUAUGACCUGGGCUACACACGUGCUACAAUGGAUGGUACAAAGGGCUGCAAACCUGCGAAGGUAAGCGAAUCCCAUAAAGCCAUUCUCAGUUCGGAUUGCAGGCUG
This 532-nucleotide ribosomal RNA is filed under the name uncultured bacterium. RNAcentral's name for it is "bacterial SSU rRNA". It matches the Rfam family "Bacterial small subunit ribosomal RNA", at positions 777 to 1307 of the family's 1533-position model. The record is from RNAcentral.